UUCGGGUCCCAACAGAUACGCUCUUACUCAAACCUCUCUGAGAGCAGAAUAGGUCGGUCGAUGAUGCCGCGAACGCCGGGGCGUUCGCUUCUCACCCCAAUCGUCUAGGACGAUCUUUACUUUCAUUGUGCCCACGGGUUUCGAUCACCCGGAGACUCGCGCACAUGUUAGACUCCUUGGUCCGUGUUUCAAGACGGGUCGGAUGGAGCCGUAUGGCCGUC
Molecule: long non-coding RNA, 221 nt
Filed under: Paramuricea clavata
Lineage: Eukaryota; Metazoa; Cnidaria; Anthozoa; Malacalcyonacea; Plexauridae
Source: RNAcentral